AUGAGGCUGCUGGGUCUUCUCCUGUGCCUGGUGACAGCCCCCCAAGGUGUCCUAUCCCAGGUGCAGCUGCAGGAGUCGGGCCCAGGACUGGUGAAGCCCUCGCAGACCCUGUCCCUCACCUGCACUGUUUCGGGGGGCUCUGUCACCAGCAGUUACUACUGGAAUUGGAUCCGCCAGAGCCCUGGGAAAGGGUUGGAGUGGAUGGGGUACUGGACAGGGAGCACAAGCUACAACCCAGCAUUCCAGGGCCGAAUCUCCAUCACGGCUGACACAUCAAAGAACCAGUUCUCCCUGCAGCUGAGCUCUGCACACGUGGCCCCACGGGAUUAUGCUCAGCCCCCAGGACCUCCAACCCCAUAG
Hipposideros armiger (great roundleaf bat) is the source of this 360-nucleotide non-coding RNA. The record is from the annotation of a RefSeq genome assembly. NCBI's taxonomy places the organism in Eukaryota, Metazoa, Chordata, Mammalia, Chiroptera, Hipposideridae.